This 498-nucleotide ribosomal RNA is filed under the name uncultured bacterium. RNAcentral describes it as "bacterial SSU rRNA". It matches the Rfam family "Bacterial small subunit ribosomal RNA", at positions 30 to 527 of the family's 1533-position model. The record is from RNAcentral.
AUUGAACGCUGGCGGAAUGCUUUACACAUGCAAGUCGAACGGUAGAGGGGGCAACCCCUUGAGAGUGGCGAACGGGUGAGUAAUAUAUCGGAACGUGCCCAGUCGUGGGGAUAACGUAGCGAAAGUUACGCUAAUACCGCAUACGAUCUAAGGAUGAAAGCGGGGGAUCGCAAGACCUCGCGCGAUUGGAGCGGCCGAUAUCAGAUUAGGUAGUUGGUGAGGUAAAGGCUCACCAAGCCAACGAUCUGUAGCUGGUCUGAGAGGACGACCAGCCACACUGGAACUGAGACACGGUCCAGACUCCUACGGGAGGCAGCAGUGGGGAAUUUUGGACAAUGGACGCAAGUCUGAUCCAGCCAUUCCGCGUGCAGGAUGAAGGCCCUCGGGUUGUAAACUGCUUUUGUACGGAACGAAAAGGUUUGUCUUAAUACGAUGAGCUCAUGACGGUACCGUAAGAAUAAGCACGGCUAACUACGUGCCAGCAGCCGCGGUAAAGUG